Molecule: ribosomal RNA, 450 nt
Filed under: uncultured bacterium
Lineage: Bacteria
Description: partial 16S ribosomal RNA
Rfam family: Bacterial small subunit ribosomal RNA
Source: RNAcentral
GUGGGGAAUUUUGGACAAUGGGCGCAAGCCUGAUCCAGCAAUGCCGCGUGCAGGAAGAAGGCCUUCGGGUUGUAAACUGCUUUUGUACGGAACGAAACGGUCCUGGUUAAUACCCGGGGCUAAUGACGGUACCGUAAGAAUAAGCACCGGCUAACUACGUGCCAGCAGCCGCGGUAAUACGUAGGGUGCAAGCGUUAAUCGGAAUUACUGGGCGUAAAGCGUGCGCAGGCGGUGCUGUAAGACAGGCGUGAAAUCCCCGGGCUUAACCUGGGAAUUGCGCUUGUGACUGCAGUGCUGGAGUGCGGCAGAGGGGGAUGGAAUUCCGCGUGUAGCAGUGAAAUGCGUAGAUAUGCGGAGGAACACCGAUGGCGAAGGCAAUCCCCUGGACCUGUACUGACGCUCAUGCACGAAAGCGUGGGGAGCAAACAGGAUUAGAUACCCUGGUAGUCC